This 490-nucleotide ribosomal RNA is filed under the name uncultured bacterium. RNAcentral's name for it is "partial 16S ribosomal RNA". It matches the Rfam family "Bacterial small subunit ribosomal RNA", at positions 30 to 507 of the family's 1533-position model. The record is from RNAcentral.
AUUGAACGCUGGCGGCAGGCCUAACACAUGCAAGUCGAACGGUAACAGGAAGAAGCUUGCUUCUUUGCUUACGAGUGGCGGACGGGUGUGUAAUGUCUGUGAAACUGCCUUAUGGAUGGGGAUAACUACUGGAAACGGUAGCUAAUACCGCAUAACUUCUCAAGACCAAAGAUGGGUAGCGUCAGGCCUCUUUCCAUCGGAUUUUCCCAGAUUGCAUUAGCUAGUAGGUAGGGUAACGGCUCACCUAGGCGACGAUCCCUAGCUGGUCUGAGAGGGUGACCAGCCACACUGGAACUGAGACACGGUCCAGACUCCUACGGGAGGCAGCAGUAGGGAAUAUUGCACAAUGGGCGAAAGCCUGAUGGAGCAAUGCCGCGUGUAUGAAGAAGGCCUUCGGGUUGUAAAGUACUUUCAGCGGGGAGGAAGAAAGUAAUGUUAAUACAUUUGCUCAUUGACGUUACCCGAAGAAGAAGCCACGGCUAACUCCGUG